CAGCCGCCGCGGUAAUACAGAGGAUGCAAGCGUUAUCCGGAAUGAUUGGGCGUAAAGCGUCUGUAGGUGGCUUUUCAAGUCCGCCGUCAAAUCCCAGGGCUCAACCCUGGACAGGCGGUGGAAACUACCAAGCUGGAGUACGGUAGGGGCAGAGGGAAUUUCCGGUGUAGCGGUGAAAUGCGUGGAUAUCGGAAAGAACACCAGUGGCGAAGGCGGCUGCCUGGACUGACACUGACACUGAGGCGCGAAAGCGUGGGGAGCAAACAGGAUUAGAUACCCCGGGUAGUCCCUGUCUCUUAUU
This 301-nucleotide ribosomal RNA is filed under the name uncultured bacterium. RNAcentral describes it as "partial 16S ribosomal RNA". It matches the Rfam family "Bacterial small subunit ribosomal RNA", at positions 509 to 808 of the family's 1533-position model. The record is from RNAcentral.